RNAcentral lists this ribosomal RNA (629 nucleotides) under Serratia marcescens. Its description in RNAcentral is "bacterial SSU rRNA". It matches the Rfam family "Bacterial small subunit ribosomal RNA", at positions 61 to 679 of the family's 1533-position model. The record is from RNAcentral. Lineage: Bacteria; Pseudomonadati; Pseudomonadota; Gammaproteobacteria; Enterobacterales; Yersiniaceae.
GUCGAGCGGUAGCACAGGGGAGCUUGCUCCCUGGGUGACGAGCGGCGGACGGGUGAGUAAUGUCUGGGAAACUGCCUGAUGGAGGGGGAUAACUACUGGAAACGGUAGCUAAUACCGCAUAACGUCGCAAGACCAAAGAGGGGGACCUUCGGGCCUCUUGCCAUCAGAUGUGCCCAGAUGGGAUUAGCUAGUAGGUGGGGUAAUGGCUCACCUAGGCGACGAUCCCUAGCUGGUCUGAGAGGAUGACCAGCCACACUGGAACUGAGACACGGUCCAGACUCCUACGGGAGGCAGCAGUGGGGAAUAUUGCACAAUGGGCGCAAGCCUGAUGCAGCCAUGCCGCGUGUGUGAAGAAGGCCUUCGGGUUGUAAAGCACUUUCAGCGAGGAGGAAGGUGGUGAACUUAAUACGUUCAUCAAUUGACGUUACUCGCAGAAGAAGCACCGGCUAACUCCGUGCCAGCAGCCGCGGUAAUACGGAGGGUGCAAGCGUUAAUCGGAAUUACUGGGCGUAAAGCGCACGCAGGCGGUUUGUUAAGUCAGAUGUGAAAUCCCCGGGCUCAACCUGGGAACUGCAUUUGAAACUGGCAAGCUAGAGUCUCGUAGAGGGGGGUAGAAUUCCAGGUGUAGC